GGUUCGAUGGCGUAAUUGGUUAUCGCAUCUGUCUAACAUAGUCAAAUCAUGACUCCGUGAACAAUGUUUGCACAGAAGGUCCCCAAUUCGAGCCUGGGUCGAAUGA
Non-coding RNA from Marasmius sp. AFHP31, 106 nucleotides. The record is from the annotation of a GenBank genome assembly. NCBI's taxonomy places the organism in Eukaryota, Fungi, Basidiomycota, Agaricomycetes, Agaricales, Marasmiaceae.